AUAUCAAUAAGCGGAGGAAAAGAAACCAACAGGGAUUGCCCUAGUAACGGCGAGUGAAGCGGCAACAGCUCAAAUUUGAAAUCUGGCUCUCGGGCCCGAGUUGUAAUUUGUAGAGGAUGCUUUUGGUGCGGUGCCUUCCGAGUGCCCUGGAACGGGACGCCAUAGAGGGUGAGAGCCCCGUCUGGUUGGAUGCCAAUCCUCUGUAAAGCUCCUUCGACGAGUCGAGUAGUUUGGGAAUGCUGCUCUAAAUGGGAGGUAUAUGUCUUCUAAAGCUAAAUACCGGCCAGAGACCGAUAGCGCACAAGUAGAGUGAUCGAAAGAUGAAAAGCACUUUGAAAAGAGAGUUAAAAAGUACGUGAAAUUGUUGAAAGGGAAGCGUUUAUGACCAGACUUGGGCUUGGUUAAUCAUCCAGGGUUCUCCCUGGUGCACUUUUCCAGUCCAGGCCAGCAUCAGUUUGCUUCGGGGGAUAAAGGCUUCGGGAAUGUGGCUCUCUCCGGGGAGUGUUAUAGCCCGUUGCGUAAUACCCUGGGGCGGACUGAGGUACGCGCUUCUGCAAGGAUGCUGGCGUAAUGGUCAUCAACGACCCGUCUUGAAACACGGACCAAGGAGUCGUCUUCGUAUGCGAGUGUUCGGGUGUCAAACCCCUACGCGUAAUGAAAGUGAACGCAGGUGAGAGCUUCGGCGCAUCAUCGACCGAUCCUGAUGUUCUCGGAUGGAUUUGAGUAAGAGCAUACGGGGCCGGACCCGAAAGAAGGUGAACUAUGCUUGUAUAGGGUGAAGCCAGAGGAAACUCUGGUGGAGGCUCGCAGCGGUUCUGACGUGCAAAUCGAUCGUCAAAUAUGAGCAUGGGGGCGAAAGACUAAUCGAACCUUCUACUAGCUGGUUUCCGCC
This 892-nucleotide ribosomal RNA is filed under the name Fusarium decemcellulare. Its description in RNAcentral is "eukaryotic LSU rRNA". It matches the Rfam family "Eukaryotic large subunit ribosomal RNA", at positions 40 to 962 of the family's 3401-position model. Lineage: Eukaryota; Fungi; Ascomycota; Sordariomycetes; Hypocreales; Nectriaceae. The record is from RNAcentral.